CCGCCGGCCUCCCCCCUCCCCCCUCCGGCCAGAUCUGGAGGGGAGGAAGGGAGGGAGGGGAGCCGCCGCUCCACGCCGUCCGCCCUGCACCGUCCGCCGCCGGCCGCCCCGCGCUGUCCGCCCCUUCUGCCAGUGGGGAGAGUGAGGGGAGAGGAGAGGUGAAGGGGAGGGGAGAGGAGAGGAGAGGAGAGUGAGGGGGAGAGGGAAGGACUUAGAAAAAAUUCGGCCCAUCUGCCAUGUAUAUAUAUCACGCUAAUUUUCGCAGGCGCACCUCAUGUAGUCCGCCUGUGAAAAUGAUUUUCGCAGGCGCCGCUUAAGUGAUCCGCCUGCGAAAAUAGAUUUUCGCAUGCGGACAUCAAAUUUCACCCUGACUUAUAUUUUUGUAGGCCGUUAUUUGGCUCUAAGCGUCAUGUCCGCCUGCGAAAAUAAGACCCCUAUGUUGGGAAAAAUGCUUUUUCUAGUAGUGUAGGCCAAACAUAACGCAUUUUGGUGCAUAUGUCUAGCUGCAUAAAUAUUCGCCCACUAGAAGUACUCCACAUGUCACAAUUGUUAAAACUACGGUGUUCUCCAUGACGGGCGUUUUGAUAGUGGGUGCCAUAUGGCAGGCCAUGCACUGUGCCAUGACAUGUCAUUACUUGCCGUAACGUGGUUAUUUUUUGGGGGACGCACUGGAGUCGCCAGUGGUCCUUGCUUCUUAAAGAAGGUGACAAGGAAGCUGUGAAGAUGGGGUGCCAAAAAUCGAAAGUUAUCGUUAUGGAAUUCUACUCAAAGUCUCGACGGAAUUGUAGAGGAAGAUUGAAUUGUUAGCUGAAAUUUUUUUGUUGUGAGACUUGUUCUGGAUGUUUUUGUCAUCUAUUUGCCUUCUAUGGUGGCGUUUGCUUUU
This is a non-coding RNA of Oryza sativa Japonica Group (Japanese rice), 883 nucleotides long. Lineage: Eukaryota; Viridiplantae; Streptophyta; Magnoliopsida; Poales; Poaceae. The record is from RefSeq and is a predicted model, not a curated record.